GGCCCCUAGCGGGGGUCACGGAUAGGAUCUGAGGAAACUCCGGCCUCCAACCCCCGUAGGAACCCCUAGACGGGGUGAGGAGAGAUUCCUCGGCUCCUACACAGAAACGUAAGCUUUAAAUCUCGAUUAAUGUCCAGACCUGCUACUAGGCAACUAGUAGCAGUAUGGGAAAAAUGAGAGAUUUAAAGCUUGAAACGGUAGACCUCCUAGGAGUAAGUUGGGAGGGGAUGAGCUGGGGGUCAACUCUCCCUUGGACGCUAAGACAAAUCCCCCUAUUACAGAAGCCGGGUUAUGCUAGGGGCC
This 303-nucleotide RNase P RNA is filed under the name Saccharolobus sp. A20. Its description in RNAcentral is "Sulfolobus sp. A20 RNase P RNA component". It matches the Rfam family "Archaeal RNase P". From Rfam's summary of the family: Ribonuclease P (RNase P) is a ubiquitous endoribonuclease, found in archaea, bacteria and eukarya as well as chloroplasts and mitochondria. Lineage: Archaea; Thermoproteati; Thermoproteota; Thermoprotei; Sulfolobales; Sulfolobaceae. RNAcentral also lists the same sequence under 5 other names. The record is from RNAcentral.